UGGGGAAUCUUGGACAAUGGGGGCAACCCUGAUCCAGCCAUGCCGCGUGAGUGAUGAAGGCCUUAGGGUCGUAAAGCUCUUUCGCCUGUGAAGAUAAUGACGGUAGCAGGUAAAGAAACCCCGGCUAACUCCGUGCCAGCAGCCGCGGUAAUACGGAGGGGGUUAGCGUUGUUCGGAAUUACUGGGCGUAAAGCGCACGUAGGCGGACCAGAAAGUUGGGGGUGAAAUCCCGGGGGCUCAACCCCGGAACUGCCUCCAAAACUAUUGGUCUAGAGUUCGAGAGAGGUGAGUGGAAUUCCAAGUGUAGAGGUGAAAUUCGUAGAUAUUUGGAGGAACACCAGUGGCGAAGGCGGCUCACUGGCUCGAUACUGACGCUGAGGUGCGAAAGUGUGGGGAGCAAACAGGAUUAGAUACCCUGGGUAGUCCACACCGUAAAACGAUGAAUGCCAGUCGUCGGGUAGCAUGCUAUUCGGUGACACACCUAACGGAUUAAGCAUUCCGCCUGGGGAGUACGG
This 515-nucleotide ribosomal RNA is filed under the name uncultured bacterium. RNAcentral describes it as "bacterial SSU rRNA". It matches the Rfam family "Bacterial small subunit ribosomal RNA", at positions 355 to 885 of the family's 1533-position model. The record is from RNAcentral.